RNAcentral lists this ribosomal RNA (784 nucleotides) under uncultured Yersinia sp. Its description in RNAcentral is "partial 16S ribosomal RNA". The record is from RNAcentral. Lineage: Bacteria; Pseudomonadati; Pseudomonadota; Gammaproteobacteria; Enterobacterales; Yersiniaceae.
AAGGAGGUGAUCCAGCCGCAGGUUCCCCUACGGUUACCUUGUUACGACUUCACCCCAGUCAUGAAUCACAAAGUGGUAAGCGCCCUCUCGAAGGUUAAGCUACCUACUUCUUUUGCAACCCACUCCCAUGGUGUGACGGGCGGUGUGUACAAGGCCCGGGAACGUAUUCACCGUAGCAUUCUGAUCUACGAUUACUAGCGAUUCCGACUUCAUGGAGUCGAGUUGCAGACUCCAAUCCGGACUACGACAGACUUUAUGUGGUCCGCUUGCUCUCGCGAGUUCGCUUCACUUUGUAUCUGCCAUUGUAGCACGUGUGUAGCCCUACUCGUAAGGGCCAUGAUGACUUGACAUCAUCCCCACCUUCCUCCGGUUUGUCACCGGCAGUCUCUCUUGAGUUCCCACCAUUACGUGCUGGCAACAAAGGAUAAGGGUUGCGCUCGUUGCGGGACUUAACCCAACAUUUCACAACACGAGCUGACGACAGCCAUGCAGCACCUGUCUCACGGUUCCCGAAGGCACUAAAGCAUCUCUGCUAAAUUCCGUGGAUGUCAAGAGUAGGUAAGGUUCUUCGCGUUGCAUCGAAUUAAACCACAUGCUCCACCGCUUGUGCGGGCCCCCGUCAAUUCAUUUGAGUUUUAACCUUGCGGCCGUACUCCCCAGGCGGUCGACUUAACGCGUUAGCUCCGGAAGCCACGCCUCAAGGGCACAGCCUCCAAGUCGACAUCGUUUACAGCGUGGACUACCAGGGUAUCUAAUCCUGUUUGCUCCCACGCUUUCGCACCUG